CACCACAGCUCAAUAUCCAAGACCUCUGAGCAACCCCACCAGGUGGAGAUGGGGACAGCCCGUGGCUGUUCCUGCUGCUUCUCUGAUGUCACAGAAGCAAGAAGCUUCAGCAAAGCCCCACAGAUCAAUGGCCAGACACCAAAUUGGGCCGAUCCAACACCAGCACAACCUGCCCAGAUAGGUGGUGAAGUCUCCAUCUUUAGAGACAUCCAAGACUCACUGGACAUGGUCCUGAGUGUCCAGGAUAAUCUAGGGCAGUGUCCCUGGGAGAACAAAGUUAUUAGCAAGGUUGAAGAAGCCUCAUGCAAUUAUUUAGCAACUACACCAAAAUAAUCCCCAAAGACCGGUGGCUGCUCACAGGUUGCAGCUUUCUAAGUCAUUCCAAUAAAAUCUGGCUCAGUAA
This is a long non-coding RNA of Cyanistes caeruleus (blue tit), 403 nucleotides long. RefSeq lists it as uncharacterized. The record is from RefSeq and is a predicted model, not a curated record. NCBI's taxonomy places the organism in Eukaryota, Metazoa, Chordata, Aves, Passeriformes, Paridae.